GUGUGCUGUGAGGCAUGCUGGAGGUAUCAGAAGUGCGAAUGCUGACAUAAGUAACGAUAAAGCGGGUGAAAAGCCCGCUCGCCGGAAGACCAAGGGUUCCUGUCCAACGUUAAUCGGGGCAGGGUGAGUCGACCCCUAAGGCGAGGCCGAAAGGCGUAGUCGAUGGGAAACAGGUUAAUAUUCCUGUACUUGGUGUUACUGCGAAGGGGGGACGGAGAAGGCUAUGUUGGCCGGGCGACGGUUGUCCCGGUUUAAGCGUGUAGGCUGGUUUUCCAGGCAAAUCCGGAAAAUCAAGGCUGAGGCGUGAUGACGAGGCACUACGGUGCUGAAGCAACAAAUGCCCUGCUUCCAGGAAAAGCCUCUAAGCAUCAGGUAACAUCAAAUCGUACCCCAAACCGACACAGGUGGUCAGGUAGAGAAUACCAAGGCGCUUGAGAGAACUCGGGUGAAGGAACUAGGCAAAAUGGUGCCGUAACUUCGGGAGAA
Molecule: ribosomal RNA, 486 nt
Filed under: Escherichia coli
Lineage: Bacteria; Pseudomonadati; Pseudomonadota; Gammaproteobacteria; Enterobacterales; Enterobacteriaceae
Description: partial 23S ribosomal RNA
Rfam family: Bacterial large subunit ribosomal RNA
Source: RNAcentral